This 45-nucleotide non-coding RNA is filed under the name Schistosoma margrebowiei. The record is from RNAcentral. Lineage: Eukaryota; Metazoa; Platyhelminthes; Trematoda; Strigeidida; Schistosomatidae.
ACCCAACUGACGAGUCCCAAGUAGGGCGAAACGCGCGUCUUGGAU